RNAcentral lists this ribosomal RNA (253 nucleotides) under uncultured bacterium. RNAcentral's name for it is "partial 16S ribosomal RNA". It matches the Rfam family "Bacterial small subunit ribosomal RNA", at positions 524 to 776 of the family's 1533-position model. The record is from RNAcentral.
UACGUAGGGUGCAAGCGUUAAUCGGAAUUACUGGGCGUAAAGCGUGCGCAGGCGGUUUUGUAAGCCAGAUGUGAAAGCCCCGGGCUUAACCUGGGAAUGGCAUUUGGGACUGCAAGGCUUGAGUGCGGCAGAGGGGGGUAGAAUUCCACGUGUAGCAGUGAAAUGCGUAGAGAUGUGGAGGAACACCGAUGGCGAAGGCAGCCCCCUGGGUCAAGAUUGACGCUCAUGCACGAAAGCGUGGGGAGCAAACAGG